UCGAGCGAACGGACGAGAAGCUUGCUUCUCUGAUGUUAGCGGCGGACGGGUGAGUAACACGUGGAUAACCUACCUAUAAGACUGGGAUAACUUCGGGAAACCGGAGCUAAUACCGGAUAAUAUUUUGAACCGCAUGGUUCAAAAGUGAAAGACGGUCUUGCUGUCACUUAUAGAUGGAUCCGCGCUGCAUUAGCUAGUUGGUAAGGUAACGGCUUACCAAGGCAACGAUGCAUAGCCGACCUGAGAGGGUGAUCGGCCACACUGGAACUGAGACACGGUCCAGACUCCUACGGGAGGCAGCAGUAGGGAAUCUUCCGCAAUGGGCGAAAGCCUGACGGAGCAACGCCGCGUGAGUGAUGAAGGUCUUCGGAUCGUAAAACUCUGUUAUUAGGGAAGAACAUAUGUGUAAGUAACUGUGCACAUCUUGACGGUACCUAAUCAGAAAGCCACGGCUAACUACGUGCCAGCAGCCGCGGUAAUACGUAGGUGGCAAGCGUUAUCCGGAAUUAUUGGGCGUAAAGCGCGCGUAGGCGGUUUUUUAAGUCUGAUGUGAAAGCCCACGGCUCAACCGUGGAGGGUCAUUGGAAACUGGAAAACUUGAGUGCAGAAGAGGAAAGUGGAAUUCCAUGUGUAGCGGUGAAAUGCGCAGAGAUAUGGAGGAACACCAGUGGCGAAGGCGACUUUCUGGUCUGUAACUGACGCUGAUGUGCGAA
RNAcentral lists this ribosomal RNA (713 nucleotides) under uncultured Staphylococcus sp. RNAcentral describes it as "bacterial SSU rRNA". It matches the Rfam family "Bacterial small subunit ribosomal RNA", at positions 62 to 757 of the family's 1533-position model. Lineage: Bacteria; Bacillati; Bacillota; Bacilli; Caryophanales; Staphylococcaceae. The record is from RNAcentral.